AAGGAUUUAGUUUAAAUAAAACAUUAAUUUGUCAAAUUAAAGAUAAAUAUUAAUAUAUUAGUUCUUA
RNAcentral lists this transfer RNA (67 nucleotides) under Megymenum gracilicorne. RNAcentral describes it as "tRNA-Asp". Lineage: Eukaryota; Metazoa; Arthropoda; Insecta; Hemiptera; Dinidoridae. The record is from RNAcentral. RNAcentral also lists the same sequence under 1 other name.